GGGGCCUUAGCUCAGUUGGUAGAGCGCCUGCUUUGCAAGCAGGAUGUCAGGAGUUCGAAUCUCCUAGGCUCCAC
This 74-nucleotide transfer RNA is filed under the name Microbacterium lacticum. RNAcentral's name for it is "tRNA-Ala". It matches the Rfam family "tRNA". From Rfam's summary of the family: Transfer RNA (tRNA) molecules are approximately 80 nucleotides in length. Their secondary structure includes four short double-helical elements and three loops (D, anti-codon, and T loops). Further hydrogen bonds mediate the characteristic L-shaped molecular structure. tRNAs have two regions of fundamental functional importance: the anti-codon, which is responsible for specific mRNA codon recognition, and the 3' end, to which the tRNAs corresponding amino acid is attached (by aminoacyl-tRNA synthetases). tRNAs cope with the degeneracy of the genetic code in two manners: having more than one tRNA (with a specific anti-codon) for a particular amino acid; and 'wobble' base-pairing, i.e. permitting non-standard base-pairing at the 3rd anti-codon position. Lineage: Bacteria; Bacillati; Actinomycetota; Actinomycetes; Micrococcales; Microbacteriaceae. RNAcentral also lists the same sequence under 83 other names. The record is from RNAcentral.